CAGGAAAGACACUCGCAACCUCGAAAUCGAUUGGACAGAGGCAGACCCGGUUUCUCCUCAUCCCCAUCAAUGGCCCCUUCCCCUUCCUCGAAUCAUUGGUCAGUUUGUCUUGAGGGCGGUCCCCUCUGGGCGGAAGAGGAUGAUUUCCCUCUCUUCUUUGUUUCCAUGGAGAUCGUCUUUCCGCUUUGGCGUCUUGGAGGGCUGAGGUGAUUUUGGGGAUCCCCUGGAUCCUUUGAGGCUUCCAAGAGGGCGGUCCAUGAGUGUUCCCUACUUUGAUGGAAACAAACCCCCACCCCACCCAGACUGAAAACAUCCUAAGGACCACCUCUAUCUGGAGACUUCUGGUAAAUAUUCCAGUUUCCAUAGGAAAGAUGGACAAGAUCAAUCCCACUUCAGAUUGCUGAAGGAAAAGAAUCUGGGAAGACAUGACAAGAUCUGGACAUCUUGAUUAUGUUCUUAUCUCCAGCUUGCUACACUAGAGUCUUCAGAGAACUCUCCCUUGAAUGAGACCUAGGGAUUUCUUGGUUGAACUUAGUUAUUUUGCUCCUAAUGGGAACAUUCCUUUACUCUGUAUGAUCUGAUAUAUAUUUUUGUAUGCAUAUUUUCUCCGAUUUCUCUUUUGCUACCAGUUUGAAUAAAUGGGUUUUCAUUGAUAA
Monodelphis domestica (gray short-tailed opossum) is the source of this 656-nucleotide long non-coding RNA. RefSeq lists it as uncharacterized. The record is from RefSeq and is a predicted model, not a curated record. Lineage: Eukaryota; Metazoa; Chordata; Mammalia; Didelphimorphia; Didelphidae.